RNAcentral lists this ribosomal RNA (450 nucleotides) under uncultured Pseudoalteromonas sp. Its description in RNAcentral is "bacterial SSU rRNA". It matches the Rfam family "Bacterial small subunit ribosomal RNA", at positions 354 to 796 of the family's 1533-position model. The record is from RNAcentral. Lineage: Bacteria; Pseudomonadati; Pseudomonadota; Gammaproteobacteria; Alteromonadales; Pseudoalteromonadaceae.
GUGGGGAAUAUUGCACAAUGGGCGCAAGCCUGAUGCAGCCAUGCCGCGUGUGUGAAGAAGGCCUUCGGGUUGUAAAGCACUUUCAGUCAGGAGGAAAGGUUAGUAGUUAAUACCUGCUAGCUGUGACGUUACUGACAGAAGAAGCACCGGCUAACUCCGUGCCAGCAGCCGCGGUAAUACGGAGGGUGCGAGCGUUAAUCGGAAUUACUGGGCGUAAAGCGUACGCAGGCGGUUUGUUAAGCGAGAUGUGAAAGCCCCGGGCUCAACCUGGGAACUGCAUUUCGAACUGGCAAACUAGAGUGUGAUAGAGGGUGGUAGAAUUUCAGGUGUAGCGGUGAAAUGCGUAGAGAUCUGAAGGAAUACCGAUGGCGAAGGCAGCCACCUGGGUCAACACUGACGCUCAUGUACGAAAGCGUGGGGAGCAAACAGGAUUAGAUACCCUGGUAGUCC